AAUAGAUACCCAGGUAGUCCACGCCCUAAACGAUGAUAACUCGAUGUUUGCGAUACACAGUAAGCGUCUUAGCGGAAGCGUUAAGUUAUCCACCUGGGGAGUACGGUCGCAAGAUUGAAACUCAAAGGAAUUGACGGGGGCCCGCACAAGCGGAGGAGCAUGUGGUUUAAUUCGAUGAUACGCGAGGAACCUUACCCGGGCUUGAAAGUUAGUGAAUGAGACAGAGACGUCUCAGUCCUUCGGGACACGAAACUAGGUGCUGCAUGGCUGUCGUCAGCUCGUGCCGUGAGGUGUUGGGUUAAGUCCCGCAACGAGCGCAACCCCGUAUGUUUAGUUGCCAGCAUGUAAUGAUGGGGACUCUAAACAGACUGCCUGUGCAAACAGAGAGGAAGGUGGGGACGACGUCAAGUCAUCAUGGCCCUUACGUCCGGGGCUACACACGUGCUACAAUGGAUGGUACAGCGGGCAGCUACGAUAGCAAUAUGAUGCUAAUCUCUAAAACGCCAUUCACAGUUCGGU
Molecule: ribosomal RNA, 519 nt
Filed under: uncultured bacterium
Lineage: Bacteria
Description: bacterial SSU rRNA
Rfam family: Bacterial small subunit ribosomal RNA
Source: RNAcentral